RNAcentral lists this long non-coding RNA (1779 nucleotides) under Sus scrofa (pig). RNAcentral describes it as "lncRNA (ENSSSCG00005003937.1)". Lineage: Eukaryota; Metazoa; Chordata; Mammalia; Artiodactyla; Suidae. The record is from RNAcentral.
UUUUUUUUUUUUUUUUUGUCUUUUUGCUAUUUCUUGGACCGCUCCAGCAGCAUAUGGAGGUUCACAGAAAUUCAGACUUAUCCUAAAUCACAGAUCACUAAUAUUAUUAUUAGGUAUCAUUAGUCUCAUUUUAAUGUUGAGGAAACUGAGGCUCAGCCAAUAGAGUUAUUAAGUAGCAGAAUGGCGUUUUGCCAAGUGGUUCUGCACUUAGAUCCUAUACUAAUUCCACUACAUCCCCUUUCCUGUUUGAGUCUAAGCCACAAAAUGAAAGUAAGAUUUCAACGCUGAGUAUGCAGUUAAAAAUAAAUGACAUGUACAGACUCUUUCUUCAGCUCCUUCCAAAGAAUAAAUGUCAUUAUUUCUGAAAAGCAGUUAAGCAGCAGCAUUUACUGUCAGGAAAACUGAAGGGGAAAGUGAACUACCCUAAGAUACCCUAGUCAAUGGAAGUACCAAAAGAGACCAAGGGAAAGUGACAUUCACACUGUCAGCCAGUCUCGGUGGGCAUCCCAAUGGAUAAUCACAAAAUAAUCUGAUUAGCAAAUCCUGACACCCUGGCCUCUCCCAAUGCUUUAAAUAGAAAACUUUUCUUGUAACAAUAUCUCUCCCAGGCCAUGUGCAAUACUCUGACUCUUCAAGCAGUGAGACAGGCACAAGGAACCCCAACUCUGUCUGGCUGAUGACCUGCGAAAGGAACAAACAGCGAUCAACUCUAAAUUACUUACUCAAAGGCUUUGUAUAUACAAGCCCAGAAGCAAGAAACACAGCAGCCUCAUAAAUUUUGCUUCCUAGUAAUAACUGAGUGGUCUGUCUAGUUUCACACCCGGAAACAAGAAACCUGGAGGAGCAAGAGACGUUUAAGGCUGCAAGGAAUGCAUCAGAACUCUUUUGUGAGCUGCUAGUAUAGGACUCUAAAAAAGACAAAAGAGAAGGAAGACUAUCCCACUGUCAGACAGCAACUGCUUCACAAAUCUAGGUGUCUGAAGCACAGGUUCAAACUGGCUUAUUUAAAAGACCAAGUACUAGCAAGCACUAUGAUCACAGCCUUGCAAAUGCUAUUUUGUUCUGCUGUUACUUGCCCAGCCCCAAAUGUCCAGACACAGAAAUCAAUUCCUCAGUUUUCUAUUACCAUCAGCUAACAAAAAACUCUGUGCUUGCCCUUAAAAACUGGGAAAAAGAGAGAGUACUGCCCUGUUCAAUUUUUGGAAGAGCCAAGCUUGGACUAACUUUGCCACUUAUUAGCUGUAUAACUUCGGUCAAGCCCCUCAACCUUCCAGAGCCUCGGUUUCUCUAUCUGUGAAAUGGGGAUAAACAAUGGGCUGUAUAAAUAAAAUGAAUUAAACUGCACUUGACAAUAUUAUCUUAGUCUCCUUGCCCUUCUGAGGAAUACAUUUAUGUGCCAAGUACCUAACUUAGACUGUUGCCCUUUAGAAAGGAGAUAUGUUUAAUAUCAUAGAAUCUAUGAAUAUUAACAGCAGAAUGUUUUCCCUGUCCCCACUCUAGUAUCUAAUGCAACUUGCACACAUGACAGACGAGAUACUAGCAUUCAGUAAGAUUUUAAGUGCAGGGGAGGAUGCCUAGACCCUUCCAAGAUAAUAAGACUUAAGCCGAGUUUCCAUGUGGCUCAGAGGGCUAAGGAACCAGCAUUAUCAUUGCAGUGACUUGGGUAGAUGCAGUGGCAAGGGUUCAGUCCUGGCCCAGGAACUUCCACAUGCCACAGUGCGGCAACCCCACCCCCCAAAAAAAGACUUAAGACAACCUAGAGGAACAUCUAAUUUUCCC